Molecule: long non-coding RNA, 660 nt
Organism: Triticum dicoccoides
Lineage: Eukaryota; Viridiplantae; Streptophyta; Magnoliopsida; Poales; Poaceae
Exons: 3
Source: RefSeq, a predicted model, not a curated record
CUUCGGAGCAAAUUUCUUCACCGCGUCGUCUACAGAGAGGAAUAUCUUGUCAUCGCCAAUGAGCUCCGUGAAUUUUGCUGACCACAGCUUCUGGAUCACUGCCGGCCCGGGAUUGGCGAGGAUCAACUGUACCUUGCUAGCCUCUGGGUAUUGUUCAACAUUCGUGUAGAUUGUUGUCCUUGGAAGGUUACCGAGUAAAGCUGUUCUUGGCCGUGUUACUUGGAGAAGAAUUUUGCCAAGAGAUAUUGCAACCUAUUCCAUGCAAGAUCCACAAUCAUCAGCGAGGUCAGUAGGAGGAUUCAGUUGUAAUUAACAUGACAAAAAUUGUAGUAGUUCGCACCGCAAUGAGCAAGCCGUACUCCACUGAUGCAAAUACGACCCCAAAGAAUGCUCCUAGCAAUGCCAUGAAGUCCAUUUUAUCAACCUUCCAGAUAAGAAGUUGCGAGUACUCAAGUUGACUUACAAUUGCAACACCCUGCUUGUCUGCACGGGUGAUGAACACACAGAAUGUGGAUACGAUCACUGAAAUGAGUGGAGCGAUUGCAGAAACCCAGAAGAGCUUUUUAUUCUUCUUGGCCUGAAUUAUCCCAGUGGAACAACAUGAUCAUCACAAAUAGUCGAGGAGAACCAGGAUGAAAUUCUGAACAUGUAGUAUUAAUC